Caretta caretta (loggerhead turtle) is the source of this 1364-nucleotide non-coding RNA. The record is from RefSeq and is a predicted model, not a curated record. Lineage: Eukaryota; Metazoa; Chordata; Testudines; Cheloniidae.
UCUGUUAAGGAAGUAAUGCGCAUGCUCUAGCCGAGAUCAAUAUCCCCGGAUGAAACUGCAAAGGAACAGCCUCCCCCGAGCCUUUGCUCCUCUCGCAUGUGUAUUAUAAUUCAUUAGUCUGAGACUAGAAGUGGACGCGUUACGUCGGAUGCUCACCCAGAUGGAUGAAGAACACUAGUCUCCAUGAGAACCAUUGUGGGAAAUUAUUUAAUGAAGUAAAGAAACUUUAAAGAAAGUUAAGCUGUAAAAUGUGAGAAGAAAUAAAGCUUGAGAUGCCCUCUGAAGGGAGCGACAGCUCAGGCUGAGAGCACAGCAACAAUAGAAGCUACAAGGAUCCCUCAAAAGCUAUCGACACUCAGAUUCUGAUGAGUAAUUUCUGAUGGGCUAUUAGAUUGAAGAAAAAGUUGACUACUGGCAUGCAUGGAUGGUGGAAACCUUGAAGACCUCACAGCUGAUUCUCCAGACUCGAUUUUCAGCAGUGCCAAGGCAUAGGCAAAGGUGGCGCUUCAUCUCUCCAUCUUGGGCUUUGCCGAGCCCAAAACAGCCCCUGGGGUAAGUUAUAAUAGUCCUGCGCUACUCUAACAUAUGCUGCCUGAAGCUAUCCCGCUGGCGUGGCGGCGUCCUCUCCUCUCCAGCACACUCCCCUGAAUCCCCGCAUAUCUGGGGGUUGGAGGGAGAGUGAGUAGCAUAAAGCCAGCUUUACACCACUGUGGGAUUGCCCUAUGAAGGGACUCCCCAGCUGUCCCUUUAUGCUAGCUCUGAGCUGUUAUGCACCAUUGGACUUGGGCCUAGAUCCACAGCGUAGGAUGAGGAGCUGAUCUUGCAAGGUGCUGCCUUGCCCAAUAGGCAGGUGUAGCCAGGACUCUACAUGAGGGAGCUGUUACUUAAACUGGAGCAAUUAGUGAAUGGGGAGGAAAAGGUGGUAAGUGACUUGCCAUAGUUCUAUUUACCAUUCAAAGCCUGAAUGUAGGAGCAGCUGAAUUUUUGGAGACAGCAUGAAAAAAAAGGGUGGGGGGAGUGGUACAUAGUUUGAGCAGAAGCUUCCUCGAAGCAACAAAUGGGAAAAGACAGGAAGCGGCACAUGCCCCUAAGCAAACAUUCCUAGUGGAGGGUCAAUAUUUUAACAAGGGAGUCCUCCAGGAUUGCCCCUUUGCAGACUGCUAUGCAUGCAGUGGGCCAGGGGGUGCAUGAGUCCAUAGAGUAGGAGGGGGAUGAUUGGGGAAGCUACUCAUUUGUUUUCCAGUUUUUAAAAAAUACGCUCUCUCAUAGCCAGCAAGGGAGCCAGCACCACUUGGCCCUCCCAGGUACGUACAUGCCCCCUUUUUCUGGUGUAAGGAGGGCAGGUGUGCAAGAACGUAUGUGUG